RNAcentral lists this long non-coding RNA (487 nucleotides) under Citrus sinensis (sweet orange). RNAcentral describes it as "long non-coding RNA (CSIN_LNC000257)". Lineage: Eukaryota; Viridiplantae; Streptophyta; Magnoliopsida; Sapindales; Rutaceae. The record is from RNAcentral.
GAAAGAGCUGCUGUUAAGAUCCCAGUUGUCUCUGAAAAUGAAGGCGGGAAUGGUACUCUUCCAGGUGGAUCAGCUUUGAAUGCAGCAGGUGAGACACCCAGUGAAGCAUCUAGUCCACGCAAUAUCUGAAGUAGUUUCUUCCAAUUCCUUGCCGCAUGAAGAAUGAGAAGCAUCAAUACUUGAGGUAUUGCUUGUAGGAUCUUCUCAAAUUACACAAAUAAUAGUAGCUAAACAAAGUAUGAGCCCGUCUGUCUUAAUUCCGCCUUUUUCCCGUAGAUAAUGAGUUUAGUAUCUGUUUACUCAUACAUUCAUGUUCUUUGUAGAAUUCAAAUUUGGUUUUUUAUUGAUAGCAACAACAUUAAAUUUAAUAAUUUCUUGAUUAUAUCUUAUUCCAAAUUUGUACCUUUCAUUUGAUUGAUUUGUCCAGAAAUUGUUGAUCGAUCAUGACUUCAAAACUCCUGAAUUCGUACUCUCCCUUUGAACUUCU